Molecule: ribosomal RNA, 462 nt
Filed under: uncultured bacterium
Lineage: Bacteria
Description: partial 16S ribosomal RNA
Rfam family: Bacterial small subunit ribosomal RNA
Source: RNAcentral
AACAAACGCUGGCGGCGUGCCUAAUACAUGCAAGUCGAACGGGGAAAGCUUUCGGGUGAGUACUAGUGGCGCACGGGUGAGGAACGCGUGGAUAAUCUGCCUUAGAGUGGGGGAUAACUAGUCGAAAGAUUAGCUAAUACCGCAUAAGACCACGAGAGCUGCGGCUUUUGAGGUCAAAGGUUUUUCGCUCUAAGAUGAGUCCGCGUAAGAUUAGCUAGUUGGUGAGGUAACGGCUCACCAAGGCGACGAUCUUUAAAUGGUCUGAGAGGAUGAUCAGUCACACUGGAACUGAGACACGGUCCAGACUCCUACGGGAGGCAGCAGUAGGGAAUAUUGCACAAUGGAGGAAACUCUGAUGCAGCGACGCCGCGUGAGUGAUGAAGGCCUUCGGGUCGUAAAGCUCUGUCGCAGGGGAAUAACACAAUGAAGGUACCCUGUAAGAAAGGAUCGGCUAACUUCGUG